RNAcentral lists this ribosomal RNA (516 nucleotides) under uncultured Glomus. RNAcentral's name for it is "SSU rRNA". It matches the Rfam family "Eukaryotic small subunit ribosomal RNA", at positions 569 to 1083 of the family's 1831-position model. Lineage: Eukaryota; Fungi; Glomeromycota; Glomeromycetes; Glomerales; Glomeraceae. The record is from RNAcentral.
AGCAGCCGCGGUAAUUCCAGCUCCAAUAGCGUAUAUUAAAGUUGUUGCAGUUAAAAAGCUCGUAGUUGAAUUUCGGGAUCAAUACGUCGGUCGUGCUUCGGUACGUACUGGCGUAAUUGAUUUCUCCCUUCUGACGAACCAUGAUGUCAUUAACUUGGUGUCAUGGGAAAUCAGGACUGUUACUUUGAAAAAAUUAGAGUGUUUAAAGCAGGCUCACGCUUGAAUACAUUAGCAUGGAAUAAUGAAAUAGGACGUUUGAUUCUAUUUUGUUGGUUUCUAGGAUCGACGUAAUGAUUAAUAGGGAUAGUUGGGGGCAUUAGUAUUCAAUUGUCAGAGGUGAAAUUCUUGGAUUUAUUGAAGACUAACUACUGCAAAAGGCAUUUUGCCAAGGAUGUUUUCAUUAAUCAAGAACGAAAGUUAGGGGAAUCGAAGACGAUCAGAUACCGUCAUAGUCUUAACCAUAAACUAUGCCGACUAGGGAUCGGAUGAUGUUAAUUUUUUUAAUGACUCAUUCGG